Molecule: unclassified non-coding RNA, 331 nt
Filed under: soil metagenome
Description: partial contains 5.8S ribosomal RNA, internal transcribed spacer 2, and large subunit ribosomal RNA
Rfam family: 5.8S ribosomal RNA (bases 1-120)
Source: RNAcentral
GAUGAAGAACUUAGCGAAAUGCGAUAAGUAAUGAGAAUUGCAGAAUUCAGUGGAUCAUCGAAUCUUUGAACGCACAUUGCGCCCCUUGGUAUUCCGAGGGGCAUGCCUGUUCGAGCGUCAUUUCAACCCUCAAGCUCUGCUUGGUCUUGGGCCUGGCCGUGAUGGCCGGUCUUAAAAUCAGUGGCGGUGCCGUCGCAGGCUCCAAGCGUAGUACAUCUCUCGCUCUGGAAACUUGGCGGUGCCUGCCAGACAACCCCUAAUUGUCUCUUUCGGUUGACCUCGGAUCAGGUAGGGAUACCCGCUGAACUUAAGCAUAUCAAUAAGCGGAGGA